UGAUGGGAUGCUAUUGCACAGAUCACCCUGCAGAUGUUGUAUUCAUACACUGUGCAGUUAAAGCCAAUGGAGAGAUGUCCCCACACCUCUGAUGCAGCAAAGAUCACCUUGAUGCUGAAUCCACAGCUUUCAAACUGCAAGACUCUGUGGGAUUGGAAUGGAUCUAUAGGAACUACAGUAACUCUGCAAACAGGGCAAUGCCACCCCCACUGUACCACUGAUCCAGCUCUCAGAAAGUUUGAUUUUCUGCUGAAUAAGAUCCAGACACUUUGGACUGUAUUGGUUAGAUUUUUCAUUUCUUUAGUUGGACAAAGAUAUACAAUGUUUAGGGAUUAUGUUUUUCCUUUUUCAAUUGCAACCUAUAUACUUCAUUGCCUAAGUGCUACUUUAGCAUCAAUUGCAAGAAUAUAAAUAAAAACCACACUCUGUAUUUGUUCAUCUAAGACCUUGAAAAGCAGUAAAUCAAAAUCCUUCCUUGGUCUACCUUCAGUUCUCAUGACAGGACCAAUACAUUUGGACUGCUGCAACUUAUUUAGAUGAUGUUUGUCAAGAUGGUGGAUUUAAACCACAUAGCAGCU
This is a non-coding RNA of Phalacrocorax carbo (great cormorant), 578 nucleotides long. NCBI's taxonomy places the organism in Eukaryota, Metazoa, Chordata, Aves, Suliformes, Phalacrocoracidae. The record is from RefSeq and is a predicted model, not a curated record.